AUGGGUCAGGAUGAGGAACACGACUCUUUCAGCAUCAGGUUUGAGCAGAAAAUAGGACAAGAACGUUGCCCGAACCACGAGAUGACGAGCCACCCCCUUCCUGGCCGACAGCACGAGGCUGCCGCUCCUCCACGCGGGACCUCAGAGGGUCAGUCCCCUCCCCUGCUGCCAGGCCGCAUCCUGCCCGAGGCCACCAGGCCACCAGCGCCCCAGCCCGGCCUGCGGGGCCACAUCUUCCUCACGCAGCAGAGAGGCCUUGAGCGUUCAGCCCCCAGUUCCCAGGCCGCGGGGACACAGGGCCUGCCACGGUCCCUGCGGGGCAAGGUCAAGCCUCGGGCGCGGGCCUUCCGCUGCGCAUUCCCGGGGAUGUUCCCCGUCGGGCCGCGCCAGCCGUGGGGGACAGCACGGUGCAGCCUGGCCCCGGGGCCCCCAGGGGUGCCAGCACCAGGGCUGAUGGGCCCGCGGGGAGGAGAGGGGUGGGGGGAAGCUGCUGGAUUGGCGGCGGCGCGGCCGCGGGGUCUGGCGGCUGUUUGGAAGCCCUGCCACGGGGGACCCACCGCGAAGGCUGCCCCAAGCUUGGACAGCGAGCAGCGUCCAUUGGGACACGGACCCCCCCUCCCCCCGGGCAGAGUCCGGGCCGCGGGCUGCGCCUGCCGAGGAAGCUUCCACGGGAGCAGGAACAGAUCCGCACUCCCGGGAGCCGGAGACCUCGGCGCUGCUGCCAGGGCCCUGCACGCCUCAGCCGCUCCCCUCGGCCGUGUGCGGCCUUGUCCUCGGUCGGUCGCCCUGACGGCCGGGCUGCUCCGUGGGUCACCUGGGGAGGUCUCCGCGGAGCUGCGUAAACCCGGCGAGAGGCUCCAGCCGCACCCGCCUGGGUCUGAGGCCACUGUCGAGCGACGGGCGCGACGUAACCGUGUGCAAGACGGGCGUGUGUGCCCGGAGCCGGACGGGCCGCUCUCGGGCUUGGCCGCACUAAGUGGGCAACGGCGCCCUUCUCGGCCUCCCGUCCCCGUCCUGUAA
Molecule: long non-coding RNA, 1020 nt
Filed under: Canis lupus familiaris (dog)
Lineage: Eukaryota; Metazoa; Chordata; Mammalia; Carnivora; Canidae
Description: lncRNA (ENSCAFG00030021334.1)
Source: RNAcentral